UACAGAGGAUGCAAGCGUUAAUCGGAAUUACUGGGCGUAAAGCGUGCGUAGACGGUUAUGUAAGUCAGGUGUGAAAGCCCCGGGCUCAACCUGGGAAUGGCAUUUGAGACUGCAUAGCUAGGGUGCGGAAGAGGGAAGCGGAAUUUCCGGUGUAGCGGUGAAAUGCGUAGAUAUCGGAAGGAACAUCAGUGGCGAAAGCGGCUUCCUGGUCCAGCACCGACGUUCAGGCACGAAAGCGUGGGGAGCAAACAGG
This 253-nucleotide ribosomal RNA is filed under the name uncultured bacterium. RNAcentral describes it as "partial 16S ribosomal RNA". It matches the Rfam family "Bacterial small subunit ribosomal RNA", at positions 524 to 776 of the family's 1533-position model. The record is from RNAcentral.